AACGUAGGAGACAAACGUUAUCCGGAGUUACUGGGCGUAAAGGGCGUGUAGGCGGUUCGUUAAGUCUGGCGUGAAAGCUCUCGGCUAAACCGGGAGAGGUCGUUGGAUACUGGCAAACUAGAGGACGGUAGAGGCGUGUGGAAUUCCGGGUGUAGUGGUGAAAUGCGUAGAGAUCCGGAGGAACACCAGUGGCGAAGGCGACACGCUGGGCCGUACCUGACGCUAAAGCGCGACAGCAUGGGGAGCAAACGGG
RNAcentral lists this ribosomal RNA (253 nucleotides) under uncultured bacterium. Its description in RNAcentral is "partial 16S ribosomal RNA". It matches the Rfam family "Bacterial small subunit ribosomal RNA", at positions 524 to 776 of the family's 1533-position model. The record is from RNAcentral.